RNAcentral lists this ribosomal RNA (373 nucleotides) under uncultured bacterium. RNAcentral's name for it is "bacterial SSU rRNA". It matches the Rfam family "Bacterial small subunit ribosomal RNA", at positions 29 to 411 of the family's 1533-position model. The record is from RNAcentral.
GUGAACGCUGGCGGCGUGCUUAACACAUGCAAGUCGUACGCUUGUAGCAAUACAGGAGUGGCGAAAGGGUGAGGAACACGUGAGUAACCUACCCUCAAGUUGGGAAUAACACCGGGAAACUGGUGCUAAUACCGAAUGUGGCUGACGAACCGCAUGGUUUGUCAUCUAAAGAUUUAUCGCUUGAGGAGGGGCUCGCGUCCCAUUAGCUAGUUGGUGAGGUAACGGCCCACCAAGGCAACGAUGGGUAGCUGGUCUGAGAGGAUGGCCAGCCACACUGGGACUGAGACACUGCCCAGACUCCUACGGGAGGCUGCAGUCGAGAAUCUUGGGCAAUGCGCGAAAGCGUGACCCAGCAAUGCCGCGUGCAGGAUGA